AUGCCAAAGAGGAAAGGAGGAUUGGGGUUCAGAGACCUACACAGUUUUAAUCUUGCUUUACUAGCAAAACAGUGUUGGCGACUACUCUAGAAUCCAGAAUCGUUGUGUACUCAAGUUCUUAGUGCUAAAUAUUAUCCUGAUGGGAAUAUAUUGAACGCAGGGCCGAAGAAGGGUUCCUCCUUCACUUGGCAGAGUAUUGUUGCGGGUAUCCAAACUUUCAAAAAAGGAUACAUUUGGAGAGUUGGUACGAGAACACAUAUCAAUAUUUGGCAAGACCCGUGGAUACCUUCAAGUGAGUCCAGGAAAAUUAUAACACCGCGAGGUGCAACAAUGUUGACAAAAGUGGAAGAGUUAAUUGACCCUCAUACUGGACAGUGGGAUGAGGUACUGAUCCGCGAUGUUUUUUGGCCAGUGGACGUGUACAGAAUAUUACAAAUUCCACUCAGAGUGCAUGUUAUGGAGGACUUUGUAUCAUGGCACUAUAACCAGACUGGAAGCUUUACUGUAAGGUCGACCUAUCACACAGAGUUUAAACAUCAAUUCGGGAGACAAAUGGAUCUGUCUUGCCCACAAGGGAGCCGAGACCAGAACAUAUGGAAAUACGUUUGGGCUCUUCGAGUGCCUGGGAAGGUCAAGCAUUUUGUCUGGAAAAUUAUCAGAGGAGUUCUACCAUGCUAUGGAACGCUGGCCGGACGCCACAUACCUGUUUCUGGCCAAUGCCCAGUAUGCAAGGUAGGAUUUGAAGACUCACAACACUGUCUUUUUCAAUGUGAGCGUGCACUGGAGAUUUGGGAUAGCCUUGGAGUUCAGAAAGAGAUC
Molecule: ribosomal RNA, 819 nt
Filed under: Triticum aestivum (bread wheat)
Lineage: Eukaryota; Viridiplantae; Streptophyta; Magnoliopsida; Poales; Poaceae
Description: partial small subunit ribosomal RNA
Source: RNAcentral